GUGCUCACCUCAGCAGCACAUACACUAAAAUUGGAAUGAUACAGAGAAGAUUAGCAUGGCCUCUGUGCAUGAUGACAUGCAAAUUUGUGAAGCGUUCUACAUUUUU
RNAcentral lists this small nuclear RNA (106 nucleotides) under Dasypus novemcinctus (nine-banded armadillo). The record is from RNAcentral. Lineage: Eukaryota; Metazoa; Chordata; Mammalia; Cingulata; Dasypodidae.